UACGAAGGGGGCCAGCGUUGCUCGGAAUCACUGGGCGUAAAGCGCACGUAGGCGGAUCUUUAAGUCAGGGGUGAAAUCCUGGAGCUCAACUCCAGAACUGCCUUUGAUACUGGGGAUCUCGAGUCCGGGAGAGGUGAGUGGAACUGCGAGUGUAGAGGUGAAAUUCGUAGAUAUUCGCAAGAACACCAGUGGCGAAGGCGGCUCACUGGCCCGGUACUGACGCUGAGGUGCGAAAGCGUGGGGAGCAAACAGG
Molecule: ribosomal RNA, 253 nt
Filed under: uncultured bacterium
Lineage: Bacteria
Description: partial 16S ribosomal RNA
Rfam family: Bacterial small subunit ribosomal RNA
Source: RNAcentral